Dermacentor albipictus is the source of this 347-nucleotide long non-coding RNA. RefSeq lists it as uncharacterized. Lineage: Eukaryota; Metazoa; Arthropoda; Arachnida; Ixodida; Ixodidae. The record is from RefSeq and is a predicted model, not a curated record.
AAAGAAGCUGAAAUCGCAUCCAUAAAGUGGUUGCGCAUGAGUCUACUGUAACUUAUUCGAGCUAUUCUUGUAUGCGACAUGAAGGCGCUGCAAUGUAUUUUGCUACUCAGCAUUCUGACGACUGUUAUGUGCGCCAUCUGGGAUCACAAGAAAUGCCUUGCAUUUUGCCGACCCAGUAGCGGCAACAGCAGCACUUGCGGGACUGGUUGCAAGUGCCACGGUUUUCGUUACAUGCCAAUGAUUGGAGGCUGCCUUGACAACUCCCUUUCAGUUCCCUGGAUGUUCCGUCCAAUGCGAAGGAUUUUGGGAAAAUAGCUACAUAUUUCUAGUCACCCUGGCAUUGAAAA